RNAcentral lists this ribosomal RNA (479 nucleotides) under uncultured bacterium. RNAcentral describes it as "partial 16S ribosomal RNA". It matches the Rfam family "Bacterial small subunit ribosomal RNA", at positions 28 to 507 of the family's 1533-position model. The record is from RNAcentral.
GAUGAACGCUGGCGGCGUGCUUAACACAUGCAAGUCGAACGAAGCACUUAAGACUGAUUCUUCGGAUGACGUCUUUUGUGACUUAGUGGCGGACGGGUGAGUAACGCGUGGGUAACCUGCCUCACACAGGGGGAUAACAGUUAGAAAUGACUGCUAAUACCGCAUAACCCGAUAGGAUCGCAUGAUCCAGACGGAAAAGAUUUAUCGGUGUGAGAUGGAUGCGCGUCUGACUAGCUAGUUGGUGAGGUAACGGCCCACCAAGGCGACGAGCAGUAGCCGGCCUGAGAAAGUGAACAGCCACAUUGGGACUGAGGCACGGCCCAAACUCCUACGGUAGGCAGCAGUGGGGAAUAUUGCACAAUGGGGGAGACCCUAAUGCAGCGACGCCGCGUGAGUGAAGAAGUAUUUCGGUAUGUAAAGCUCUAUCAGCAGGGGAGAAAAUGACGGUACCAGACUAAGAAGCCCCGGCUAACUACGUG